Molecule: ribosomal RNA, 253 nt
Filed under: uncultured bacterium
Lineage: Bacteria
Description: partial 16S ribosomal RNA
Rfam family: Bacterial small subunit ribosomal RNA
Source: RNAcentral
UACGUAGGGUCCGAGCGUUGUCCGGAGUUACUGGGCGUAAAGCGCGCGCAGGCGGCGGUGCUGGCCCGGCGUGAAAGCCCCCGGCUCAACCGGGGAGAGUCGUCGGGGACCGCACCGCUUGAGGGCGGUAGGGGCUGGUGGAAUGCCUGGUGUAGUGGUGAAAUGCGUAGAGAUCAGGCAGAACACCUGGGGCGAAGGCGGCCAGCUGGGCCGUCCCUGACGCUGAGGCGCGAAGGCGUGGGAAGCGAACGGG